UACGUAGGGGGCGAGCGUUGUCCGGAAUUAUUGGGCGUAAAGGGCACGCAGGCGGUCUGCUAAGUUCGGGGUGAAAGUCACCAGCUUAACUGGUGAAGGACUUCGAAAACUGGUGGACUUGAGAGCGAGAGAGGGACAUGGAACUCCGGGUGGAGCAGUGAAAUGCGUAGAUAUCCGGAAGAACACCAAAGGCGAAGGCAGUGUCCUGGCUCGUUUCUGACGCUGAGGUGCGAAAGCUAGGGGAGCGAACGGG
Molecule: ribosomal RNA, 253 nt
Filed under: uncultured bacterium
Lineage: Bacteria
Description: partial 16S ribosomal RNA
Rfam family: Bacterial small subunit ribosomal RNA
Source: RNAcentral